This 882-nucleotide ribosomal RNA is filed under the name uncultured bacterium. RNAcentral describes it as "bacterial SSU rRNA". It matches the Rfam family "Bacterial small subunit ribosomal RNA", at positions 39 to 916 of the family's 1533-position model. The record is from RNAcentral.
GCGGCGUGCCUAACACAUGCAAGUCGAACGGAGUUCUUAAGGAAUGCGACUUCGGUCAAAUGACUUUUGAACUUAGUGGCGGACGGGUGAGUAACGCGUGAGCAACCUGCCUUUCAGAGGGGGAUAACAUUUGGAAACAGAUGCUAAUACCGCAUAAGAUUACAGUACCGCAUGAUACAGUGAUCAAAGGAGCAAUCCGCUGAAAGAUGGGCUCGCGUCCGAUUAGAUAGUUGGUGAGGUAACGGCUCACCAAGUCGACGAUCGGUAGCCGGACUGAGAGGUUGAACGGCCACAUUGGGACUGAGACACGGCCCAGACUCCUACGGGAGGCAGCAGUGGGGAAUAUUGCACAAUGGGCGAAAGCCUGAUGCAGCAACGCCGCGUGAGGGAAGACGGUUUUCGGAUUGUAAACCUCUGUUUUCGGUGACGAAUAAAUGACGGUAACCGAGUAGGAAGCCACGGCUAACUACGUGCCAGCAGCCGCGGUAAUACGUAGGUGGCAAGCGUUAUCCGGAAUUACUGGGUGUAAAGGGAGCGCAGGCGGGAUAGCAAGUCAGCUGUGAAAACUAUGGGCUCAACCCAUAAACUGCAGUUGAAACUGUUAUUCUUGAGUGGAGUAGAGGCAAGCGGAAUUCCGAGUGUAGCGGUGAAAUGCGUAGAUAUUCGGAGGAACACCAGUGGCGAAGGCGGCUUGCUGGGCUCUAACUGACGCUGAGGCUCGAAAGUGUGGGGAGCAAACAGGAUUAGAUACCCUGGUAGUCCACACUGUAAACGAUGAUUGCUAGGUGUGGGGGGUCUGACCCCCUCCGUGCCGGAGUUAACGCAAUAAGCAAUCCACCUGGGGAGUACGGCCGCAAGGUUGAAACUCAAAUGAAUUGACGG